GACGAACGCUGGCGGCGUGCUUAACACAUGCAAGUCGAACGGAAAGGCCCUGCUUUUGUGGGGUGCUCGAGUGGCGAAAGGGUGAGUAACACGUGAGUAACCUGCCCUUGACUUUGGGAUAACUUCAGGAAACUGGGGCUAAUACCGGAUAGGAGCUCCUGCUGCAUGGUGGGGGUUGGAAAGUUUCGGCGGUUGGGGAUGGACUCGCGGCUUAUCAGCUUGUUGGUGGGGUAGUGGCUUACCAAGGCUUUGACGGGUAGCCGGCCUGAGAGGGUGACCGGCCACAUUGGGACUGAGAUACGGCCCAGACUCCUACGGGAGGCAGCAGUGGGGAAUAUUGCACAAUGGGCGGAAGCCUGAUGCAGCAACGCCGCGUGCGGGAUGACGGCCUUCGGGUUGUAAACCGCGUUCGCCUGUGACGAAGCGUGAGUGACGGUAAUGGGUAAAGAAGCACCGGCUAACUACGUG
Molecule: ribosomal RNA, 468 nt
Filed under: uncultured bacterium
Lineage: Bacteria
Description: partial 16S ribosomal RNA
Rfam family: Bacterial small subunit ribosomal RNA
Source: RNAcentral